RNAcentral lists this long non-coding RNA (499 nucleotides) under Bos taurus (domestic cattle). Its description in RNAcentral is "long non-coding RNA NONBTAT023754". Lineage: Eukaryota; Metazoa; Chordata; Mammalia; Artiodactyla; Bovidae. The record is from RNAcentral.
UGAAAAUGUUCAUAAAUUUUCUUAAGUAACAAAUUGUGCUUUUAUCUGUAUCUUCAGCCUUUCAAUAUACAAAGAGGACUUGCAAAGUCACUUCAGCAUUUCUGUAAAAGCCCAAAUGUAAACGAAAAGUAAAUACAAACGCCAGGAGUCUCUUAAAAUUCAACAAAUGUGUCCUCUACCCACUCUUCUUUGCUUGAAUUGGGUUCUUUGUGUCCUCAUUUCCCCCAGCCUUGGCCAAGUGCAUUUUCUUGCUCACCAGGGCCCUGAAGAUGAUGAUACAAUGGUGCAUUCACGGUGGUGGCAUAUGCAGAACUAUGGGUCAAGGUCCGCUCAUUGUUUCCUUGGGGCAACUAUUCGAGGGAGUGAGUUCCACUUGUCCUUAAGGAUGGACACUACAGACUUUUGACCCUCUCAAUGCCUAAUAUAGCCAUUUUUCUUAUUUCUAGUAUAGACAUGGUCCAUGUCAUACUACACACGUUAAACAGUACAUUAGGAAAAA